CCGAGUUUACAACUCCCAAACCCCUGUGAACAUACCUUAUGUUGCCUCGGCGGAUCAGCCCGCGCCCCGUAAAAAGGGACGGCCCGCCGCAGGAACCCUAAACUCUGUUUUUAGUGGAUCUUCUGAGUAUAAAAAGCAAAUAAAUCA
RNAcentral lists this unclassified non-coding RNA (147 nucleotides) under soil metagenome. RNAcentral describes it as "partial internal transcribed spacer 1". The record is from RNAcentral.